Molecule: transfer RNA, 66 nt
Filed under: Chthamalus antennatus
Lineage: Eukaryota; Metazoa; Arthropoda; Thecostraca; Balanomorpha; Chthamalidae
Description: tRNA-Pro
Source: RNAcentral
CAGAAAGUAGUUUAAUUAAAAAUUUAGGUUUUGGAAAUCUAUGAUGUCUUACUGAGAUUUUUCUGA